Molecule: long non-coding RNA, 371 nt
Filed under: Rattus norvegicus (Norway rat)
Lineage: Eukaryota; Metazoa; Chordata; Mammalia; Rodentia; Muridae
Description: long non-coding RNA NONRATT022890
Source: RNAcentral
GAAAGGCUUUGUCCCAUUCCUAGAAUGAAGCUGCUUGCUAGGACUCUGUACCUCUGGGAGGUGGGGAGACAGGUAGCCUCUUGGAGCCUGACGUCUGGCCAGGAGUGUUUGGUGCUCAGGGAAACAUGGUGGGCUUCGAUGAGGGCUGUCAGAACCAGAGCAGUUCAUCACAAGCCUGGACAUUGCAUCGCCAUGGGAAGGAUCAUGCGUCCGGAUGAUGCCAACGUGGCCGGCAAUGUUCACGGAGGGACCAUUCUAAAGAUGAUCGAGGAGGCUGGGGUCAUCAUCAGCACCCGGCACUGUAACAGCCAGAAUGGGGAGCGCUGUGUGGCUGCCCUGGCCCGGGUGGAGCGCACUGACUUCCUGUCGCC